This 71-nucleotide transfer RNA is filed under the name Mycobacterium phage Myrna. It matches the Rfam family "tRNA". From Rfam's summary of the family: Transfer RNA (tRNA) molecules are approximately 80 nucleotides in length. Their secondary structure includes four short double-helical elements and three loops (D, anti-codon, and T loops). Further hydrogen bonds mediate the characteristic L-shaped molecular structure. tRNAs have two regions of fundamental functional importance: the anti-codon, which is responsible for specific mRNA codon recognition, and the 3' end, to which the tRNAs corresponding amino acid is attached (by aminoacyl-tRNA synthetases). tRNAs cope with the degeneracy of the genetic code in two manners: having more than one tRNA (with a specific anti-codon) for a particular amino acid; and 'wobble' base-pairing, i.e. permitting non-standard base-pairing at the 3rd anti-codon position. Lineage: Duplodnaviria; Heunggongvirae; Uroviricota; Caudoviricetes. The record is from Rfam by way of RNAcentral.
GCUGGAUUAGCAUAGUGGUAGUGCCCUUCCUUGGUAUGGAAGUAGCCGGGGUUCGAUUCCCCGAUUCAGCU